ACGAGGGCGCAUUGUUCCAAAUAAUACCAAAAGAUUUGGAUCUCCAACAAAAGUUCACAUUUCUGUUCAACUUUUCAUUAACUCCUGGAGCUUGGAUGGCUCUGAACGACUGUCUCUACCCUAACGCUCACAGAUGGAGCUGGGGAUUCACAAAGAGGCGAUGUCACAAGUUUGAUUGGUACGGAAACGAGCCUGUGUACCAUAAAACAGGAGACUGGAAUUGUGGAGCUUUUUGGUCCAGUUACAAAUAUCACUGGCAUGUCGAUAGUUGUGCUCAGAGAAACUACUACGUCUGUGAAAUGAAAUUGGGAAAACCUUGUAAAUGCCAGUACUGAUUUUUAUAGAUAUAUAAAUGUAGGUAUUGAAUAAAAAUGUUUGCUAA
This is a long non-coding RNA of Saccostrea echinata, 382 nucleotides long. RefSeq lists it as uncharacterized. The record is from RefSeq and is a predicted model, not a curated record. The transcript is spliced from 3 exons. Lineage: Eukaryota; Metazoa; Mollusca; Bivalvia; Ostreida; Ostreidae.